GAGCAUCAACUAAUCGGAUUGAAGCAUUUUUUCUUUGAGCAUUGAUGAAUUGAAUCCAUGCGACAAACAACGGUGUGAGCUAUUAAUCUGACUCAAUCACAAGACAAACAGUAGCUACAAGAAAAGAAGCUAAAGCUGAGCGUGGCGGCCGGUUGGAUGCGAGGCUUGGCCUUGGCGUUCCCACGCGCGACCGCGACUCCGAGCGGCGCGUUCUCAGGUGCGGUCAACGGCCGGCGUUUGGAGCGGCUGCUCCGUCAAGCACGGCGGCUCGGCGCUUCCCGGCAUGUGCCGCCAUUGUUGCCCUGCGGCAAGACCUCCACUGGCGAAAGAAGGCGUAGCAGAUCAAAGGAAGAUGGCCGGCGGCACAGAUAGGAGGUGGAGGGCCGGCAGCGCACAUCGCGGGCGGGGGAGAGACGAGGGAGAAUAGCCGCACAGAGGAUAGGGUUCGAGAGCG
This 454-nucleotide ribosomal RNA is filed under the name Triticum aestivum (bread wheat). RNAcentral's name for it is "partial small subunit ribosomal RNA". Lineage: Eukaryota; Viridiplantae; Streptophyta; Magnoliopsida; Poales; Poaceae. The record is from RNAcentral.